GUGAAUCAUCGAAUUUUUGAACGCAAAUUGCACUCUCCUCGGAGAUUAUGCCUGUUUGAGGGCCAGCCUAUAAAAAAUCGACAAGGUUGAGGGUUCGCGGUGGCGUCCGUCGGAAAUUGGGUCAUCUUAAAACUUUUGGUUUUAAGCGACUUAAAAUGUUCGUUGUGGUUCCAUGAACGUUUCUAAUAUUUAUGUCGUUUCACGUUUAAGGAAUCGAUUU
Molecule: unclassified non-coding RNA, 220 nt
Filed under: Glomus sp.
Lineage: Eukaryota; Fungi; Glomeromycota; Glomeromycetes; Glomerales; Glomeraceae
Description: partial contains 5.8S ribosomal RNA and internal transcribed spacer 2
Rfam family: 5.8S ribosomal RNA (bases 1-65)
Source: RNAcentral